Molecule: ribosomal RNA, 433 nt
Filed under: uncultured bacterium
Lineage: Bacteria
Description: partial 16S ribosomal RNA
Rfam family: Bacterial small subunit ribosomal RNA
Source: RNAcentral
AGCGAACGCUGGCGGCAGGCUUAACACAUGCCAGUCGAGCGGACCUUUCGGGGCCAGCGGCGGACGGGUGAGUAACGCGUGGGAACGUGCCUUCCGGUUCGGAAUAACCCUGGGAAACUAGGGCUAAUACCGGAUACGCCCUUAUGGGGAAAGGUUUACUGCCGGAAGAUCGGCCCGCGUCUGAUUAGCUAGUUGGUGGGGUAACGGCCUACCAAGGCGACGAUCAGUAGCUGGUCCGAGAGGAUGAUCAGCCACACUGGGACUGAGACACGGCCCAGACUCCUACGGGAGGCAGCAGUGGGGAAUAUUGGACAAUGGGCGCAAGCCUGAUCCAGCCAUGCCGCGUGAGUGAUGAAGGCCUUAGGGUUGUAAAGCUCUUUUAUCCGGGACGAUAAUGACGGUACCGGAGGAAUAAGCCCCGGCUAACUUCGUG